Molecule: small nuclear RNA, 183 nt
Organism: Euleptes europaea (tarantolino)
Lineage: Eukaryota; Metazoa; Chordata; Lepidosauria; Squamata; Sphaerodactylidae
Product: U2 spliceosomal RNA
Exons: 1
Source: RefSeq, a predicted model, not a curated record
AUCGCUUCUCGGCCUUUUGGCUAAGAUCAAGUGUAGUCUCAUGUCUUACACUGUUUAUAUGGCAUUGCUUUCUAACAUAGUAAGCUAACUUAAUUUCCCUCUUUAUUAUAUGCUGUACACUGUUUGAUGCCUUGUUAAAUUUUGUAAUCUGCCUUGAGUCCCAGUGCGAAAGGCAGACUAUAA